Molecule: long non-coding RNA, 473 nt
Filed under: Olea europaea subsp. europaea
Lineage: Eukaryota; Viridiplantae; Streptophyta; Magnoliopsida; Lamiales; Oleaceae
Source: RNAcentral
AGCGGAAUCAAGUUUUGAUAAAGAAACUAAAUUGCGAGAAAUGGAAGGUACAUAAAGUGUUUGAAAUAAAUCUAAAUGAUGUCCAGUAUCUAAAAUCAAACGAUAGGUUCCAAUGGCUUCAACUGGAGCUUUGACUCGAUUUCCCAUGAGGACAAACUUUUCAUUUGGAUUUAUGGUCUGGGUUGAAAGGAAUCCCUUUACUUUCGAACCAUGCCUUACGUUUCAGGCAGUCCUUUUUAUGGUGCCCAGGUUUGCGACAGAAAUGGCACAUGUCUUUCUUGUGUUCCUUAUUGUGGAUUUGGGCAGAAGACUCAUUUAUCUUUAGUGGUCCUUGCUUAAUGCCCUUUCCAGACCUUUUCUUAUAUUUCUUUCCAGCUCCUUGAUGACUUACAAGAUGAAUAGAAUGAGUUCCUUGAUUCUUAAGCCUUGUCUCCUCUUGCACGAGCAUACUGUGCAAUUCAUUCACAUUUCAU